CUACGGGUCGCUGCAGUCGAGAAUCUUCGGCAAUGGACGCAAGUCUGACCGAGCGACGCCGCGUGCGGGAUGAAGGCCUUUGGGUUGUAAACCGCUGUUGGUGGCAAGGAAAUGCUAGGGGGCUAUCCCCCUAGUUUGACCUACCCACUGAGGAAGCGCAGGCUAAGUUCGUGCCAGCAGCCGCGGUAACACGAACUGCGCGAACGUUAUUCGGAAUCACUGGGCUUAAAGAGUGCGUAGGCGGCUUUGUAGGUGGGGUGUGAAAGCCCUCGGCUCAACCGAGGAAUAGCGCUCCAAACCACAAAGCUUGAGGGAGAUAGGGGUGAGCGGAACUGAUGGUGGAGCGGUGAAAUGCAUUGAUAUCAUCAGGAACACCGGUGGCGAAGGCGGCUCACUGGGUCUCUUCUGACGCUGAGGCACGAAAGCUAGGGGAGCGAACGGGAUUAGAUACCCGAGUAGUC
Molecule: ribosomal RNA, 461 nt
Filed under: uncultured bacterium
Lineage: Bacteria
Description: partial 16S ribosomal RNA
Rfam family: Bacterial small subunit ribosomal RNA
Source: RNAcentral